UUUUAAACGAUGCCCAAACGGAAUAACACUUCCGAAAAGAUUUUUUACGAAACAGAAGAUACGCGCCAGACUUGAGAACCAAGGUAGGGGCCAGCAGGGGACCCGACAAGCCACCUAGGCGCGACCAGGGGGGCAUGCCUAGAAGGCUUGUGGCCCCCUAUGGCUCGUCUGCCCUACCUCUUCCGCCCAUAAUUCAGAAAAAUUCCGCCGCCGCAAGCUUCUAUCUCCGCAAGAUCCCAUCUGGGGCACGUUCUGGUGGCCUACCGGAGGGGGGAUUCGGCUACGGAGUGCUUCUUCAUCAACAC
RNAcentral lists this long non-coding RNA (305 nucleotides) under Hordeum vulgare. Its description in RNAcentral is "long non-coding RNA (HVUL_LNC004257)". The record is from RNAcentral. Lineage: Eukaryota; Viridiplantae; Streptophyta; Magnoliopsida; Poales; Poaceae.